CCUACGGGAGGCAGCAGUGAGGAAUAUUGGUCAAUGGGCGCGAGCCUGAACCAGCAACGCCGCGUGAAGGAAGAAUGCCCUCGGGUUGUAAACUUCUUUUGUCAGGGACGAAGAAAGUGACGGUACCUGACGAAUAAGCCACGGCUAACUACGUGCCAGCAGCCGCGGGAAUACGUAGGUGGCAAGCGGUAUCCGGAUUUACUGGGUGUAAAGGGGGUGUAGGCGGGACUGCAAGGCAGAUGUGAAAUUCCAGGGCUCAACCCUGGAACAGCAUUUGAAACUGGAGUUCUUGAGUGAUGGAGAGGCAGGCGGAAUUCCGGGUGUAGCGGUGAAAUGCGUAGAUAUACGGAGGAACACCAGUGGCGAAGGCGGCCUGCUGGACAUUAACUGACGCUGAGGCGCGAAAGCGUGGGGAGCAAACAGGAUUAGAUACCCCGGUAGUC
This 443-nucleotide ribosomal RNA is filed under the name uncultured bacterium. Its description in RNAcentral is "partial 16S ribosomal RNA". It matches the Rfam family "Bacterial small subunit ribosomal RNA", at positions 338 to 795 of the family's 1533-position model. The record is from RNAcentral.